AUCUCCAAGACACAAUAAUCAAAAUUGAUAACACCUACAUUUAAAUUCAAUUCUGGCCUAGGGUUCCGCCAGGCCGCAGAAAAAUGCUUCAACACCAGAUAGUACACUCUCCGGCGAGACUAGGCCUAACAAAUCCAAACUCACCCACUCCCCCCAAAUUCCCUACCACCUCCUCCUCAUCGUCACAACCACCGCCCCAACAGCAGCAGCAGCAUGCUUCGUCCUCCUCCACCUCCUCCGCCCUCCUCCCACUCCUCCCUCCUCUCCGUAGAGCUCAAACACUUCUCCUCCAAAUGGCAUCCCUAGCCUCCACCAUCUUCGAAGUCUCCCCUAACCGCGCUCUCUGGCUCUCCGCUUUCCGCGGCUCAUUACCUACAUUUCUCUCCUCUCAUACUCAAUCAAUUCCGCCGCUCGAAUACACUCCGACUUCCACUAAAGAAGCUCUUACUCUCUUCACUUCCCUCCAAACUCAGCUCUUCGAAGCCGUCGCUGAGCUUCAAGAAAUCCUUGACCUACAAGACUCCAGACAGAGACUCGCUCGAGAAAUCAAAUCUAAAGAUUCUGCUCUACUCAACUUCGCUAAUAAGCUUAAAGAAGCUGAACGGUUGCUCGACAUUCUCGUCGAUGAUUACUCCGAUUAUAGAAAAUCUAAACGAGCUAAGUCGAAGGACGUUAACCUAGACGACGAUGAGGAGGAGGAUGAUUUUGAAAACGACAAUUUGUAUGAUGUAAGCAGUAGUACUACUAUUGCUUCUCAGCUUAAUUUGUCUGAUAUUUUAUCUUAUGCUCAUAGGAUCAGCUACACUACUUUUGCACCUCCUGAGUUUGGAGCUGGGAACGCCCCGCUUCGUGGCGCGUUUCCUCCUGCGCCUCAGGAUGAGCAAAUGAGAGCUUCUCAAUUGUAUGCUUUUGCUGACCUUGAUGUGGGAUUGCCUAAGAUUGAAACUAAGGAGAAAUUUAUCGAGCCAAUUAUUGAACCUCCUCCGCCGCCUCAUCCAGCGGAGGCUAAUUCACUUGCUAAUUUGAGUGGUUUGCUUCCGCCUAAUAUCACUGUUCCGUCGGGAUGGAAACCUGGGAUGCCUAUUGUGCUCCCAAUGGACUUACCCCCGCCGCCUCCUGGAUGGAAGCCUGGGGAUCCUUUGCCAUUGCCUCCAUUGGAUUCUCUUCCUUUGCCUAGGAUGGCUGAGCAACAUUUGCAACCUGUUACUGGUCCUCAAGGAUUACCUAAGCCACCUGAGACUAUACAGGUUCGACAUGUGCAGAUUGAUAUUCUUGAUCAAGAUGACGAUAGUAGUGAUUAUAGUAGUGACGAGGGGAGCUCUGAUGAUCAAGAUUGAGAGGCUUUUGAAAAUGCUGUGCUACAGAUCUGUGGAUACGAAUUUUUCAAGUUGCUUACGUUCAUAGGCUCACUCGGUGCAGUGCGCAGACAUUAUGGAACAUUUGUUAAUACGUAUAUUUGACAAAAAGAAAGAUAAAGAUAAAAAUGAGAAAGGACAAAGAAGAAGGAAGGUAGGCCCAAAGAGGUGGGGGCCCAUACUUUUAGAGAGAGGUGCAAUGCAAUAAUAGAUAUUUUGGGAAGACUAGACGACGACGUGUACGGAUAUUGCCCAAUCAGCGCUUUUCUUCUUCAACCUAAGACACCACAUGCCUAUUUUUAUUACUGUUUUAUGGAUUUUUGUUGUGACCUACAUUUUUGGAACAAUUUCAUGUAAAUAUGUAAUAUCCCAGCAUUUAGGGUUGUAAUAAAUUUAAAAAUUGCAACUUUCAUGAACAAAACAAUUUCAAAGAUAA
Molecule: RNA transcript, 1791 nt
Organism: Mercurialis annua (annual mercury)
Lineage: Eukaryota; Viridiplantae; Streptophyta; Magnoliopsida; Malpighiales; Euphorbiaceae
Gene name: mediator of RNA polymerase II transcription subunit 4
Exons: 3
Source: RefSeq, a predicted model, not a curated record